CCUACGGGUGGCAGCAGUGGGGAAUAUUGGACAAUGGGCGAAAGCCUGAUCCAGCCAUGCCGCGUGUGUGAAGAAGGCCUUCGGGUUGUAAAGCACUUUCAGUGGGGAAGAAAGCCUUGGGGCUAAUACCCUCGAGGAAGGACAUCACCCACAGAAGAAGCACCGGCUAACUCCGUGCCAGCAGCCGCGGUAAUACGGAGGGUGCGAGCGUUAAUCGGAAUUACUGGGCGUAAAGCGCGAGUAGGCGGUCUGAUAAGCCGGUUGUGAAAGCCCCGGGCUCAACCUGGGAAUGGCAUCCGGAACUGUCAGGCUAGAGUGCAGGAGAGGAAGGUAGAAUUCCCGGUGUAGCGGUGAAAUGCGUAGAGAUCGGGAGGAAUACCAGUGGCGAAGGCGGCCUUCUGGACUGACACUGACGCUGAGGUGCGAAAGCGUGGGUAGCAAACAGGAUUAGAUACCCCGGUAGUC
Molecule: ribosomal RNA, 465 nt
Filed under: Vreelandella stevensii
Lineage: Bacteria; Pseudomonadati; Pseudomonadota; Gammaproteobacteria; Oceanospirillales; Halomonadaceae
Description: partial 16S ribosomal RNA
Rfam family: Bacterial small subunit ribosomal RNA
Source: RNAcentral